UACGUAGGGUGCGAGCGUUGUCCGGAAUUAUUGGGCGUAAAGAGCUUGUAGGCGGUUUGUCGCGUCUGCUGUGAAAAUCCGGGGCUCAACCCCGGACCUGCAGUGGGUACGGGCAGACUAGAGUGUGGUAGGGGAGACUGGAAUUCCUGGUGUAGCGGUGAAAUGCGCAGAUAUCAGGAGGAACACCGAUGGCGAAGGCAGGUCUCUGGGCCACUACUGACGCUGAGAAGCGAAAGCAUGGGGAGCGAACAGG
RNAcentral lists this ribosomal RNA (253 nucleotides) under uncultured bacterium. RNAcentral's name for it is "partial 16S ribosomal RNA". It matches the Rfam family "Bacterial small subunit ribosomal RNA", at positions 524 to 776 of the family's 1533-position model. The record is from RNAcentral.